UACGUAGGUGGCAAGCGUUGUCCGGAUUUACUGGGUGUAAAGGGCGUGCAGCCGGGAAUGCAAGUCAGAUGUGAAAUCCCGCGGCUCAACCGCGGAACUGCAUUUGAAACUGUGUUUCUUGAGUACUGGAGAGGCAGACGGAAUUCCUGGUGUAGCGGUGAAAUGCGUAGAUAUUAGGAGGAACACCAGUGGCGAAGGCGGCCUGCUGGACCGUGACUGACGUUGAGGCUCGAGAGCGUGGGGAGCAAACAGG
RNAcentral lists this ribosomal RNA (253 nucleotides) under uncultured bacterium. RNAcentral describes it as "partial 16S ribosomal RNA". It matches the Rfam family "Bacterial small subunit ribosomal RNA", at positions 524 to 776 of the family's 1533-position model. The record is from RNAcentral.